Molecule: ribosomal RNA, 563 nt
Filed under: Xylariaceae sp. BCC 20986
Lineage: Eukaryota; Fungi; Ascomycota; Sordariomycetes; Xylariales; Xylariaceae
Also listed under: 2 other names
Description: eukaryotic LSU rRNA
Rfam family: Eukaryotic large subunit ribosomal RNA
Source: RNAcentral
AAACCAACAGGGAUUGCCCUAGUAACGGCGAGUGAAGCGGCAACAGCUCAAAUUUGAAAUCUGGCCCUCGGGUCCGAGUUGUAAUUUGUAGAGGAUGCUUUUGGCGCGGUGCCUUCCGAGUUCCCUGGAACGGGACGCCUUAGAGGGUGAGAGCCCCGUACGGUUGGACACCAAGCCUCUGUAAAGCUCCUUCGACGAGUCGAGUAGUUUGGGAAUGCUGCUCUAAAUGGGAGGUAAAUUUCUUCUAAAGCUAAAUAUUGGCCAGAGACCGAUAGCGCACAAGUAGAGUGAUCGAAAGAUGAAAAGCACUUUGAAAAGAGGGUUAAAUAGCACGUGAAAUUGUUGAAAGGGAAGCGUUUGCGACCAGACCUUUUCUUGGCGGAUCAUCCGGUGUUAUCACCGGUGCACUUCGCCAAGUUAAGGCCAGCAUCGGUUUUCGUAGGGGGAUAAAAGCCUGGGGAAUGUGGCUCCUUCGGGAGUGUUAUAGCCUCUCGCAUAAUACCCUUAUGGGGACCGAGGACCGCGCUUUAUGCAAGGAUGCUGGCGUAAUGGUCGUCAACGAC